This is a long non-coding RNA of Physella acuta, 497 nucleotides long. RefSeq lists it as uncharacterized. NCBI's taxonomy places the organism in Eukaryota, Metazoa, Mollusca, Gastropoda, Physidae. The record is from RefSeq and is a predicted model, not a curated record.
GUGUCAAUAGGCUACAUGGCUACAUGGAUGGUAGGGUUGCCAGGUGUCCAGUUUUGAACUGGACAGUCCAGUAUUUGAGCAGACUGUCCAGGAUAAAAUAAAUAUAAAUAGCAUAGGCUACUGAACAAGUAUAUGAAUAAUACUCUGUUACCCCCCUUCUUCUGCUUUGCGGCAGAGACCUAGAUCUAGAUACAUUUUAAAUUUAGGGCUUACAGACUACAGUUUUGCAAUUAGUAGAUCUAGAAAUCUACAAUAAAUUUAGUUUCUAAGUAGUACAUGGCAAGCAAUUUUCUCACACUUGACUGUGGCUAUAGGUGCUGAUCUUGAGCUAAACUAAAGGUAAAUGGAACAGCAUGGAUGUGGAAUUUUAGACACAAGGAAGCUGAAGUUAACUUUUAAUUAAGAAUUAAAGAUUGUCCAUGAAAACAAAUAUAAAUUAUAUACUUUGUAAUGCUGUAUUGAUGCAUCUUCUGUUUUAAGUAAUUAAAAAACAUCCA